UGCCUGCGACCUGCGGGCUCGGCCGACGGUUAACCGGCGCCUCCUUCCCUUCCCCCAGAUUGCUUGACCCAAAUGGCCUUGCACCAACGUCUGGUCGCCGCCGAUCCCAGAAACGCGCCACCUUUUCUCCUGUCCACAACGACGUCUCUAGCUCUCUGAAGUUUCCAAAUCCUGUUCAAUCCAAGGCCCCCGGCACCAGCUUUUCGCCGCUCUUUCGCCCACGCCUCGUCGGCGCCCACCGAAACCCGCACGCAUCCUCGUCUGCCCAUAUGGCCGCCGGCCGCCGCCAAAGCGUCAUCUUUUAAUCAGGCGGCCGCCGGGGAGAUGACGAAGAUGCCCGGCCGCCCCGGGACGUCGGGCGGCCUGGUGCUGCGGGUAGGCCAGUUUGUCUUCGCCGCCGCGUGCAUCUGCGCCAUGGCCUCCGCGUCCGGAUUCACCAACUACACCGCCUUCUGGUAGCAGCAAUUCUUUCAUUUGCUGCAGCGUGCUCAGCCGGAGCUGUAGUCGUACUUUUCGAAAGGGAUGUAUACUUCUGCAAGAGGGAUCCCCAACUCCCUUGUGGAAAAUUUGAAGUUGCAACUGCAUUUGCAUUUCUUUCCUGUGCAUGUAGUGCUGCAUCUGCUCUUGUAAUGUUUUGGCUCCUUGCUUCGCUGUGAAUAACUUUGUAUAAGCUCUGUCUGUAAUGCCUCUUUGUAUAUGAGUUCAUUUUUUAGGCAGACCACACAAUGAAUUUUUUUAAAAUUUCUGGGAAUUGAGUUCCUGCGCCCUUCUGUGCAAGAAUAUUUGUCCCAUUGGCACAACUUCAAACAUUUUCCAAAUGCUUUACAA
This is a long non-coding RNA of Panicum virgatum (switchgrass), 828 nucleotides long. RefSeq lists it as uncharacterized. NCBI's taxonomy places the organism in Eukaryota, Viridiplantae, Streptophyta, Magnoliopsida, Poales, Poaceae. The record is from RefSeq and is a predicted model, not a curated record. The transcript has 2 exons.